UGCUAUAGCCAUGCCACCCUGAAUAAGCCCAUCCUGUCUGAUCUCAGAAGCUAAGCAGGGUCGGGCCUGGUUAGUACUUGGAUGGGAGACCACCUAGGAAAACCAGGUGCUGUAGGAG
This 118-nucleotide ribosomal RNA is filed under the name Pteropus alecto (black flying fox). The record is from RNAcentral. Lineage: Eukaryota; Metazoa; Chordata; Mammalia; Chiroptera; Pteropodidae.